GACGAACGCUGGCGGCGUGCCUAACACAUGCAAGUCGUGCGAGAAAGUUCCUUCGGGAGCGAGUAAAGCGGCGCACGGGUGAGUAACACGUAGGUAACCUGCCCCCCAGUCUGGAACAACUAGAGGAAACUCUAGCUAAUGCCGGAUGAGACCACGAUCCCUUCGGGGUUGCGGCCAAAGAUGGCCUCUACUUGUAAGCUAUCGCUGAGGGAUGGGCCUGCGGCCAUUAGCUUGUUGGUGAGGUAACGGCUCACCAAGGCUGUGAUGGCUAGCUGGUCUGAGAGGAUGACCAGCCACACUGGGACUGAGACACGGCCCAGACUCCUACGGGAGGCAGCAGUGGGAAUAUUGCGCAAUGGCGAAGCCUGACGCAGCGACGCCGCGUGGGUGAUGAAGGCC
This 399-nucleotide ribosomal RNA is filed under the name uncultured bacterium. RNAcentral's name for it is "bacterial SSU rRNA". It matches the Rfam family "Bacterial small subunit ribosomal RNA", at positions 28 to 416 of the family's 1533-position model. The record is from RNAcentral.